AUUGAACGCUGGCGGCAUGCCUUACACAUGCAAGUCGAACGGCAGCACGGGGGCAACCCUGGUGGCGAGUGGCGAACGGGUGAGUAAUACAUCGGAACGUAUCCUGUUGUGGGGGAUAAC
Molecule: ribosomal RNA, 120 nt
Filed under: uncultured bacterium
Lineage: Bacteria
Description: partial 16S ribosomal RNA
Rfam family: Bacterial small subunit ribosomal RNA
Source: RNAcentral